This 819-nucleotide ribosomal RNA is filed under the name uncultured Actinomycetes bacterium. RNAcentral's name for it is "bacterial SSU rRNA". It matches the Rfam family "Bacterial small subunit ribosomal RNA", at positions 335 to 1167 of the family's 1533-position model. Lineage: Bacteria; Bacillati; Actinomycetota; Actinomycetes. The record is from RNAcentral.
ACUCCUACGGGAGGCAGCAGUGGGGAAUAUUGCACAAUGGGCGCAAGCCUGAUGCAGCAACGCCGCGUGAGGGACGACGGCCUUCGGGUUGUAAACCUCUUUUAGUAGGGAAGAAGCGAAAGUGACGGUACCUGCAGAAAAAGCACCGGCUAACUACGUGCCAGCAGCCGCGGUAAUACGUAGGGUGCAAGCGUUAUCCGGAAUUAUUGGGCGUAAAGAGCUCGUAGGCGGUUUGUCGCGUCUGCUGUGAAAACUGGAGGCUCAACCUCCAGCCUGCAGUGGGUACGGGCAGACUAGAGUGCGGUAGGGGAGAUUGGAAUUCCUGGUGUAGCGGUGGAAUGCGCAGAUAUCAGGAGGAACACCGAUGGCGAAGGCAGAUCUCUGGGCCGUAACUGACGCUGAGGAGCGAAAGCAUGGGGAGCGAACAGGAUUAGAUACCCUGGUAGUCCAUGCCGUAAACGUUGGGAACUAGAUGUAGGGACCAUUCCACGGUUUCUGUGUCGCAGCUAACGCAUUAAGUUCCCCGCCUGGGGAGUACGGCCGCAAGGCUAAAACUCAAAGGAAUUGACGGGGGCCCGCACAAGCGGCGGAGCAUGCGGAUUAAUUCGAUGCAACGCGAAGAACCUUACCAAGGCUUGACAUAUACCGGAAAAGUGCNAAAAUGUACUCCCCGCAAGGUCGGUAUACAGGUGGUGCAUGGUUGUCGUCAGCUCGUGUCGUGAGAUGUUGGGUUAAGUCCCGCAACGAGCGCAACCCUCGUUCUAUGUUGCCAGCACGUAAUGGUGGGAACUCAUAGGAGACUGCCGGGGUCAACUCGGA